Molecule: transfer RNA, 71 nt
Filed under: Marmota monax (woodchuck)
Lineage: Eukaryota; Metazoa; Chordata; Mammalia; Rodentia; Sciuridae
Description: tRNA.Ala
Rfam family: tRNA
About the family: Transfer RNA (tRNA) molecules are approximately 80 nucleotides in length. Their secondary structure includes four short double-helical elements and three loops (D, anti-codon, and T loops).
Source: RNAcentral
GGGGUUGUGGCUUGGUGGUAGAGCACUCGCCUAGCAUGUGUGAGGCCCUGGGUUCGAUCCUCAGCACCACA